AUGGGGGGAACCCUGAUGCAGCGACGCAGCGUGCGGGAUGACGGCCUUCGGGUUGUAAACCGCUUUCAGCAGGGAAGAAGCGAAAGUGACGGUACCUGCAGAAGAAGUACCGGCUAACUACGUGCCAGCAGCCGCGGUAAUACGUAGGGUACGAGCGUUGUCCGGAAUUAUUGGGCGUAAAGAGCUCGUAGGUGGUUGGUCACGUCUGCUGUGGAAACGCAACGCUUAACGUUGCGCGUGCAGUGGGUACGGGCUGACUAGAGUGCAGUAGGGGAGUCUGGAAUUCCUGGUGUAGCGGUGAAAUGCGCAGAUAUCAGGAGGAACACCGGUGGCGAAGGCGGGACUCUGGGCUGUAACUGACACUGAGGAGCGAAAGCAUGGGGAGCGAACAGGAUUAGAUACCCUGGUAGUCCAUGCCGUAAACGUUGGGCACUAGGUGUGGGGGACAUUCCACGUUCUCCGCGCCGUAGCUAACGCAUUAAGUGCCCCGCCUGGGGAGUACGGUCGCAAGGCUAAAACUCAAAGGAAUUGACGGGGGCCCGCACAAGCGGCGGAGCAUGCGGAUUAAUUCGAUGCAACGCGAAGAACCUUACCAAGGCUUGACAUACACUGGACCGUUCUGGAAACAGUUCUUCUCUUUGGAGCUGGUGUACAGGUGGUGCAUGGUUGUCGUCAGCUCGUGUCGUGAGAUGUUGGGUUAAGUCCCGCAACGAGCGCAACCCUCGUUCUAUGUUGCCAGCA
RNAcentral lists this ribosomal RNA (741 nucleotides) under Brevibacterium sp. CR33. RNAcentral's name for it is "bacterial SSU rRNA". It matches the Rfam family "Bacterial small subunit ribosomal RNA", at positions 371 to 1123 of the family's 1533-position model. Lineage: Bacteria; Bacillati; Actinomycetota; Actinomycetes; Micrococcales; Brevibacteriaceae. The record is from RNAcentral.